Molecule: ribosomal RNA, 465 nt
Filed under: Vreelandella stevensii
Lineage: Bacteria; Pseudomonadati; Pseudomonadota; Gammaproteobacteria; Oceanospirillales; Halomonadaceae
Description: partial 16S ribosomal RNA
Rfam family: Bacterial small subunit ribosomal RNA
Source: RNAcentral
CCUACGGGGUGCAGCAGUGGGGAAUAUUGGACAAUGGGCGAAAGCCUGAUCCAGCCAUGCCGCGUGUGUGAAGAAGGCCUUCGGGUUGUAAAGCACUUUCAGUGGGGAAGAAAGCCUUGGGGCUAAUACCCUCGAGGAAGGACAUCACCCACAGAAGAAGCACCGGCUAACUCCGUGCCAGCAGCCGCGGUAAUACGGAGGGUGCGAGCGUUAAUCGGAAUUACUGGGCGUAAAGCGCGCGUAGGCGGUCUGAUAAGCCGGUUGUGAAAGCCCCGGGCUCAACCUGGGAACGGCAUCCGGAACUGUCAGGCUAGAGUGCAGGAGAGGAAGGUAGAAUUCCCGGUGUAGCGGUGAAAUGCGUAGAGAUCGGGAGGAAUACCAGCGGCGAAGGCGGCCUUCUGGACUGACACUGACGCUGAGGUGCGAAAGCGUGGGUAGCAAACAGGAUUAGAUACCCUGGUAGUC